RNAcentral lists this ribosomal RNA (402 nucleotides) under uncultured bacterium. RNAcentral's name for it is "bacterial SSU rRNA". It matches the Rfam family "Bacterial small subunit ribosomal RNA", at positions 355 to 774 of the family's 1533-position model. The record is from RNAcentral.
UGGGGAAUUUUGGACAAUGGGCGCAAGCCUGAUCCAGCCAUGCCGCGUGCAGGAUGAAGGCCUUCGGGUUGUAAAGCUCUUUUGGCGGGGACGAUGAUGACGGUACCGUAAGAAUAAGCACCGGCUAACUACGUGCCAGCAGCCGCGGUAAUACGUAGGGUGCGAGCGUUAAUCGGAAUUACUGGGCGUAAAGUGUGCGCAGGCGGUUAUAUAAGACAGAUGUGAAAUCCCCGGGCUCAACCUGGGAACUGCGUUUGUGACUGCAUAACUAGAGUACGGCAGGGGGAGGUGGAAUUCCGCGUGUAGCAGUGAAAUGCGUAGAUAUGCGGGGGAACACCGAUGGCGAAGGCAGCCUCCUGGGCCAGUACUGACGCUCAUGCACGAAAGCGUGGGGAGCAAACA